CACUCUUUUCUAAUCCCACAGCAAUCUCUUCUAGUUGCUCUUCACAAAAAACACCCAUGCUUCCAAAGCACAGAAAUAUCACGCUUUUACUAGGUUGAGAAUUGAGCCAUACUAAGCACUCGUUCUCCUUACUGUUGGUCUGUUUUUCAGCAAUUAAAGGUCCUAUACAAUAUAUAGGAGGAAUAGGGGAGUUGGGAGUGCAAAGCCCAUCAGAAAUAGCUGUUAUGGCUCUUGGUUCUAAACUGUGGAAUGUAUUUAUAAUAAUUCCAUCAGAUUUAGCCAUCUGGGCUGCUAGUUCCAUAAAGUAUUUGUACUCCAUGGAAUUUCGGUCUAGGAGGGGAUUAGACAUGUCGGAUGAAAAGAUAGGCGGUAUGCCAGGAAACUGAAUAAAAGCAUUAAGAUCUUUAAAAGAUGUGGUAUUCUUUUGGUGAAGAGUUGGCAGAUAAAGUAGUAUUGAAAGACUAGCGGCUGCUGAUGUGAAGAAGUAAUAAGUGGGAAUGUUAAUUGCUGAUGCAACAUCGGAAGCUGAGCUACAAAACAUGUCCAUAACGAAAGCUUUCACAUGAGCUUUGGAGGAUAUAGUUUCAAGGGCUUGGCGAACGUUGGGAUUGUUGAAGCUUUGGAGGUCAAAGUUGAGGCCUUCAACAGAAGCGACAUAGUUUGAUGGGAGAGGUGUGGUGGGGAGAUGGUAGAAAGUGAUGGAAGGCGUGGUGGCAGAAACAUGGCUCGUGUAAGGAGCGGUGGUGGCAGUGUUGAGAUGUGGUGCGGUUGUCAUGAGAAUGAUAAAUUCAGAGAAGGAAUCAGGAUAUCGACACAGAACUAGCUUUGCAAGUUCCACCAUAGCUAUCAAGUGCCCAAUUCCAGGAGAAGGAUACAGAAUGAUGCAACUAUUGUUUUUCUCCUCCAUUUUUCUUUGUUUCUUUCCGAUUAUUUUCAGAAGGCGGAUAUAGACAAUAGGACCUUUGCUACUAGAGCUUAUAAUGGGAUAAGAUUGUAGAUGACUUUUUCGUAAUUCUGGACAGGCCCUCAAACACAUGCGUAGGAAGGACACUCUGUCGUUUUCGAAAUUAUGGUCCAGUAACUGACUAGAGUAUCUAAACUUAAUACAACUAGAGCACCCUCACCUGCUUGGUCUGUUACUAUACCUAAGAACCUCAAAAUAAGUAAGUUCGAAGACAAGUAAAUUUUGAGUUUGAUGAGCUGGGUUAGUUUAGGUUCGAGCUUCCGUUCCCCCAACUUGGAUGUAUAACUGAAUACCAAUUUUAACAGAAUUUGAGCUAAAAGUUACACCAAAGGUAAGAUAAAUGAGUAGAAUGAUUGAAAUGUUAGUUAGGCAUGGUAUUUAAUGACGAAAACUGCACUUAACCCGUGAGCAUAGAUAUUUUGGCAAGGUAUACAGUUGAUAACACUCCUUUGGCCAGGAUCUGGAAGCUGAAUAAAGCCAGGGUUAGCUCAAAAGCUCUAUCUCGAAAGAACAAUAUCUAGGUGUACUAUAUGCAAACUACUCCGCUGCAUCAAUAAAUGGAUAGAAUUGCUGGGUGCUUUUAUCAUCACAAUACUCCUUAAAUGUCAUCAACCCUUCUGCCUCAUUGUAAAAUGUUGUUUCACUUCUCCUAUUCACUUGAAAUUAGGUUUGAUAUUAGGCAUAUACGUUCCAUGCCCUUGUUAAACUAAUCUUACAUUAAUAAAUACACACCUUAUGUUAUUAUGCAUACAUGAUCCAUGCCCAUGUGUAAUCCUACAUUAACAAAUACUGGCCAAUUUUAUUGAUGUAUACACACACACGUGGGAAGGGGAAAAAAAAAAAAAGAGCCAAUAAUACAUUGCAGCUUUGCUGCUCUAAACUACUCCUUCCACUUGGUAAUCAAUUUGGGUGACACAACCCAUGACAGUUCCAUUCUCAUCAGUCAGUGCUGCCUUGGCAGCAUCUCUCAAUUCCCCGACUUGGUGCCUCACCUUUCCCUGUUAUCUGAGUUCAUCAACUCUCUAGCGCUAUCCUAUCUCACCAGAGUCACCACCACUAGCAACCUUCCUACAUCAGACUCCUCCAACCCUAGCCCCACCCUCAUUCUUCCACAAAAGAUACCUUGUUAUUUCUUCUCCACGUACAAUGGCCACCCACUCAUAGGUAUCCCAGCACAAACCUCUCCCAAAAUCGAGUUCCAUCCACAAUGAUUCAUGAAACCAUCGAUGAAUCAUGACUUCGCACAGCAACUUGCGGUGCCCAGGACUUCACAACAAAUCCCCUUCCUUGGUUCUCCAUUCUCCAAGAAACCCGUGGCAGGAGUAUAUUCAGAUCAGGUUCUUCUGAUGCUAAAAUUCUAUUGCUUUCAUCAUCACCACCUUUGGGUGGUGGAUUCCUAACAACCCACUAGAACAUAUGACGCUAUUUUCUAAUCCCGCAGCAAUCUCUUUUAGUUGCUCUUCUCCAAAGACACCCAAGCUUUCAAAGCAUAGAAAACUCACACUUUUACUAGGUUGAGAAUUGAGCCAUACCAAGCACUCGUUGCCCCCGCUGUCGGUCUGCUUUUCAGCGACCAAGGUUCGAUGCAAUAUACAGGAGUGGGAGAGUUUUAGAUGCACAGCCCAUCAGAAAUAGCUGUUAUAGCUGGUAGUAGAGACAGGUCGUGUAAGGACCAGUGGUGCGCUAGUUGAGAUGAGAAUAAUAAUUAUAGAGUAUUGA
RNAcentral lists this long non-coding RNA (2683 nucleotides) under Daucus carota (carrot). RNAcentral describes it as "long non-coding RNA (DCAR_LNC004585)". The record is from RNAcentral. Lineage: Eukaryota; Viridiplantae; Streptophyta; Magnoliopsida; Apiales; Apiaceae.